This 559-nucleotide ribosomal RNA is filed under the name Kluyveromyces marxianus. Its description in RNAcentral is "partial large subunit ribosomal RNA". It matches the Rfam family "Eukaryotic large subunit ribosomal RNA", at positions 69 to 670 of the family's 3401-position model. The record is from RNAcentral. Lineage: Eukaryota; Fungi; Ascomycota; Saccharomycetes; Saccharomycetales; Saccharomycetaceae.
CACCGGAUGCCUUAGUACGGCGAGUGAAGCGGCAAAAGCUCAAAUUUGAAAUCUGGCGUCUUCGACGUCCGAGUUGUAAUUUGAAGAAGGCGACUUUGUAGCUGGUCCUUGUCUAUGUUCCUUGGAACAGGACGUCAUAGAGGGUGAGAAUCCCGUGUGGCGAGGAUCCCAGUUAUUUGUAAAGUGCUUUCGACGAGUCGAGUUGUUUGGGAAUGCAGCUCUAAGUGGGUGGUAAAUUCCAUCUAAAGCUAAAUAUUGGCGAGAGACCGAUAGCGAACAAGUACAGUGAUGGAAAGAUGAAAAGAACUUUGAAAAGAGAGUGAAAAAGUACGUGAAAUUGUUGAAAGGGAAGGGCAUUUGAUCAGACAUGGCGUUUGCUUCGGCUUUCGCUGGGCCAGCAUCAGUUUUAGCGGUUGGAUAAAUCCUCGGGAAUGUGGCUCUGCUUCGGUAGAGUGUUAUAGCCCGUGGGAAUACAGCCAGCUGGGACUGAGGAUUGCGACUUUUGUCAAGGAUGCUGGCGUAAUGGUUAAAUGCCGCCCGUCUUGAAACACGGACCAAA